AGAAAGUUAGUCUAACUAAGACAGUUGAUUUCGACUCAACAGAUUAUAGCUUCUACCCUAUAACUUUCUA
Molecule: transfer RNA, 70 nt
Filed under: Piranga erythrocephala (red-headed tanager)
Lineage: Eukaryota; Metazoa; Chordata; Aves; Passeriformes; Cardinalidae
Also listed under: 1 other name
Description: tRNA-Arg
Rfam family: tRNA
About the family: Transfer RNA (tRNA) molecules are approximately 80 nucleotides in length. Their secondary structure includes four short double-helical elements and three loops (D, anti-codon, and T loops).
Source: RNAcentral